UUCUUAAUAAAUAGCUGAGAUAUCUCGGUCCAUAGAGCAUGAGUCUCUUAAUCUCAGCUUCAUGGGUUUGAGCCCCAUGUUGGGAAA
Podarcis lilfordi (Lilford's wall lizard) is the source of this 87-nucleotide non-coding RNA. NCBI's taxonomy places the organism in Eukaryota, Metazoa, Chordata, Lepidosauria, Squamata, Lacertidae. The record is from the annotation of a GenBank genome assembly.